Panicum virgatum (switchgrass) is the source of this 729-nucleotide long non-coding RNA. RefSeq lists it as uncharacterized. Lineage: Eukaryota; Viridiplantae; Streptophyta; Magnoliopsida; Poales; Poaceae. The record is from RefSeq and is a predicted model, not a curated record. The transcript is spliced from 2 exons.
GUCUAGCCUCCCAAGUCCCAACACCAACAGACCAUCCACACAUACAACAGCUAGAGGCACGAUCGAUGGCCGUGAUCAGGGCAGGCCGCACAGGCUUGGUGGUGCUGUGCUUGGCCUCUCUCCUUGUCUCAUCACUUGCUGAUGAUACCUCCGGCUCCGGAUCCCAUGAACGCGCAGGUGCCGGGAGGAAGAUGACGCCAGGAAUGGUGGUCGAUGAGAAGGAUCGAUUCACCAACAUACACGCCCACCGUACCGUCGUAUACUCCUACCGUACCAUCGUACACGCCUACGGUACCGUCAUACAGUGUGCCUAACGUGCCAACAUACAGGCCCACGGUGCCAUCAUACACGCCUACUGUGCCAACAUACAUGCCACCAAUGUACGGCACGCCGCCAUGAAAAUGCCUUGGUUUUCCUGAGCAGGAGGAGAGAGGCCAUGCAGCACCAUGGAUGUGCAAGUACGCAGAAUAAUGACCUCUUCAUCAGCGCGUGAAUGAACUACUAGCUAUGUGUGUGUACUGUGUAGGAGAAUAAAAAUGACCUCUUCAGCGUGAGGUGCACCUUUAAUUUGGGAGCAUGUCUGUAUUCGGUAAUUAUAUAGGGGCCUUGCUGCUUUGCAGGCUCCAGAUGCCACUACAAAUGUUAAAUAUUUGAGUUUUUGCAGUUGUUCUCUGCUGCCUUCCGUUGCAUGCAUGGAAGGCAAAUUAAAUAGUCAUUAUUCUACUUCAA